RNAcentral lists this ribosomal RNA (572 nucleotides) under uncultured bacterium. RNAcentral describes it as "partial 16S ribosomal RNA". It matches the Rfam family "Bacterial small subunit ribosomal RNA", at positions 355 to 918 of the family's 1533-position model. The record is from RNAcentral.
UGGGGAAUUUUGGACAAUGGGCGAAAGCCUGAUCCAGCAAUGCCGCGUGUGUGAAGAAGGCCUUCGGGUUGUAAAGCACUUUUGUCCGGAAAGAAAUCCUUGGCUCUAAUACAGUCGGGGGAUGACGGUACCGGAAGAAUAAGCACCGGCUAACUACGUGCCAGCAGCCGCGGUAAUACGUAGGGUGCAAGCGUUAAUCGGAAUUACUGGGCGUAAAGCGUGCGCAGGCGGUUUGCUAAGACCGAUGUGAAAUCCCCGGGCUCAACCUGGGAACUGCAUUGGUGACUGGCAGGCUAGAGUAUGGCAGAGGGGGGUAGAAUUCCACGUGUAGCAGUGAAAUGCGUAGAGAUGUGGAGGAAUACCGAUGGCGAAGGCAGCCCCCUGGGCCAAUACUGACGCUCAUGCACGAAAGCGUGGGGAGCAAACAGGAUUAGAUACCCUGGUAGUCCACGCCCUAAAACGAUGUCAACUAGUUGUUGGGGAUUCAUUUCCUUAGUAACGUAGCUAACGGCGUGAAGUUGACCGCCUGGGGAGUACGGUCGCAAGAUUAAAACUCAAAUGAAUUGACGGGG